This is a long non-coding RNA of Lynx canadensis (Canada lynx), 605 nucleotides long. RefSeq lists it as uncharacterized. NCBI's taxonomy places the organism in Eukaryota, Metazoa, Chordata, Mammalia, Carnivora, Felidae. The record is from RefSeq and is a predicted model, not a curated record. The transcript has 6 exons.
GCCCCGCCUUCCCCACGGCUUUCCGGAGUCCGCUUAAAGGAGCCGCGCAGAGGAGAGUGCACAGGUUGCUCGGGCGGUAAAAGAAGGCAGGUGCGUGUCCUGAAAUGCAUGAAGUACAUCCUAGUGGAGAGUGCACACACAGAAGGAAGCAGCUACUCAGCCAUGCGGCACUGUAACUCCUAGGAAGAAUCAAGGAUUUCUGCAGCAAGGAAAUUGGAUACGGAUGAGCACCAGGGAGGACACUGCUGGCCACUGAAGGGAAAGCCCAAUGUAGGCAGGAGGCCAGAAUGCGCCAACGAAGGAAGACUGAACACCAGAAGACAGAAAGUUCAGAACACUGAACACAGAAAGACUGAAGCCUGGGCUUUCAGGGGAUACAAUGACACAUAAAGCACAGACGGUGAGACCUGAGAGGAAGAAGAUAAAAGGAAGGCUGUGGAACCAGUGUGUUAAGAAAUCUCAUAGCUGACAAUUUGCUAGCAAAGAACAGGAUGCCUACAAAAUUCGUUAAGUGUCAGAUUUCACAGCUUCCUCUGCUCUGCCUAAAAAGGAAAACUCACAUCUUCAAGCUGUUACAAUAAAACUAUUGGCAGUAUGUAAAGUGA